This 1213-nucleotide long non-coding RNA is filed under the name Monodelphis domestica (gray short-tailed opossum). RNAcentral describes it as "lncRNA (ENSMODG00000044573.1)". The record is from RNAcentral. Lineage: Eukaryota; Metazoa; Chordata; Mammalia; Didelphimorphia; Didelphidae.
GUCUAUCUUUCAGGGCAACUGCAUAGGUCAAAUGAGAUAAUAUUUAAAAUUUUUUUCAGUUAGGUGUAGAAACAAUUUUUGACAUUUUUUUUUCACAUUUUAGAAUUCAAGUUUUUCUCUCUCCUUCCCCUUCCCCUCUUCCUCCCUUCAUGGAAGUGAUGAAUAAUCUGAUAAAGGUUAUAUGUGUACUUUCAUAUGAUACAUAUUCCCCUAUUAUUUUUUUCACGAAGGAAAUCAUAUGUCACACAUUCAAUAGCUAGAUCAUGAAGGGAAUAUAGUGGAAGAUGGCGCACUUUCCUCAGACCCCAAAAGUUCCCUCUUUGGCUGUCAAUAAUAUUUUCAUGAUGAGUUCCUUGUGGUUAUCAUGGAGACUUGCUCUGAUGAUCCUUUUAGUCCUUCAAAGUUGAUUAUUGCAUCACAUUUUUGUUAUUGUAUUAUAUGAAUUUAUUAAAAUUAUACCCACUUAUUCCAUUUGAAAACCCACUCUUGGUUGCUAUCAGCUAUUUCUUUUGACUGGCCAGGCAUGCUUACUAUGGCAGGAUGGCAGAGGCUUCACAGUGUCUUGGUAUACUGAAGAGAGAGGAGGAAUUCCUCAUGCAACAGGUGGUGAAAGAAGUCAAGACCCAGACUGAGGUGAAGCUUGUCCAAUCAGAGUCCCAGGAGGAGAGCUGAAAACUGUCUUUAUAAAAGAAGGGACAGAGCAAGUUCUCUCUCUUGCCAGACUUGAGCCUCUCUCUCCUUUCUCUGGAGCAUUUAAUGUUGGGCAAGCGCUGGAUUAUCUCACAGCCAGUCAGACACUUAAACCAACGCUUGGAGCUGGAGCUGGGGAAGCAUGGAAAAAUUGGUGUCUUAUUCCAUGCAAUAAAGUUUUGUAUGCCAAGUGGGUCAAGCUGAGGUAGGUAUAUGAGGGUGAAGUGCUUCAGAGGGAGUAAAGAUGCUGGAAAGGAGACUUAUGAAUAGAAAAACUAUAUAAUAAUAACAUUGAAGAGAGAAUACCCAAACAAGUCAAGAAGAGCGAUAAUAGAAGAGGUCUCUUGCCACUUUGUAAGCUGGAGGUCCUUGGUCUUUCACUCCUGUCCUGGGUCUUUUGUUGCCACAAAUGCUUGUUUGUAGUGAAGCAGAGUUCCUUGUUCAUUUGUAACUGAGAAUAGGAAACGAGUCCCAUCCUACAUUUGUACAGCACUAAGCAUUUUAUUAUCUUGCUGAUACAUCC